GGGGGAAAGAUUUAUCGGGGAAGGAUGRGCCCGCGUUGGAUUAGCUAGUUGGUGGGGUAAAGGCCUACCAAGGCGACGAUCCAUAGCUGGUCUGAGAGGAUGAUCAGCCACAUUGGGACUGAGACACGGCCCAAACUCCUACGGGAGGCAGCAGUGGGGAAUAUUGGACAAUGGGCGCAAGCCUGAUCCAGCCAUGCCGCGUGAGUGAUGAAG
RNAcentral lists this ribosomal RNA (213 nucleotides) under uncultured Ehrlichia sp. Its description in RNAcentral is "partial 16S ribosomal RNA". It matches the Rfam family "Bacterial small subunit ribosomal RNA", at positions 198 to 413 of the family's 1533-position model. Lineage: Bacteria; Pseudomonadati; Pseudomonadota; Alphaproteobacteria; Rickettsiales; Anaplasmataceae. The record is from RNAcentral.